RNAcentral lists this ribosomal RNA (518 nucleotides) under uncultured bacterium. RNAcentral's name for it is "partial 16S ribosomal RNA". It matches the Rfam family "Bacterial small subunit ribosomal RNA", at positions 28 to 523 of the family's 1533-position model. The record is from RNAcentral.
GACGAACGCUGGCGGCGUGCUUAACACAUGCAAGUCGAACGGAGGAUUUAUUUCGGUAAAUCCUUAGUGGCGAACGGGUGAGUAACGCGUGGGCAAUCUGCCCUUCAGAUGGGGACAACAUCCCGAAAGGGGUGCUAAUACCGAAUACGAUCACGCUGCCGCAUGGCGGUGUGAUGAAAGAUGGCCUCUACUUAUAAGCUAUCGCUGAAGGAUGAGCCUGCGUCUGAUUAGCUAGUUGGUGGGGUAACGGCCUACCAAGGCGAUGAUCAGUAGCAGGUCUGAGAGGAUGAACGGCCACAUUGGGACUGAGACACGGCCCAAACUCCUACGGGAGGCAGCAGUGGGGAAUAUUCCGCAAUGGACGAAAGUCUGACGGAGCAACGCCGCGUGAGUGAUGAAGGUUUUCGGACUGUAAAGCUCUGUUGUUUAGGACGAAAGUGCCUGUUGCGAACAGUUACAGGUAUUGACGGUACUGAACGAGGAAGCCACGGCUAACUACGUGCCAGCCGCCGCGGUAA